AGCGAGGCUAGAGUCACGCCUUGACAUUGCUCUGUUGCCCUGGUGUGCUAGAGCGCUCGCAGACCAAACGUCUCUGCAUAUUCAUUGGCUGUGGUCUCCUGUGACGCAACCAAUCACCAGCUUAGACACAUGA
This is a small nucleolar RNA of Phyllopteryx taeniolatus (common seadragon), 133 nucleotides long. RefSeq annotates it as small nucleolar RNA SNORA3/SNORA45 family. The transcript has a single exon. The record is from RefSeq and is a predicted model, not a curated record. NCBI's taxonomy places the organism in Eukaryota, Metazoa, Chordata, Actinopteri, Syngnathiformes, Syngnathidae.